This 2712-nucleotide ribosomal RNA is filed under the name Klebsiella pneumoniae. RNAcentral describes it as "partial 23S ribosomal RNA". It matches the Rfam family "Bacterial large subunit ribosomal RNA". Lineage: Bacteria; Pseudomonadati; Pseudomonadota; Gammaproteobacteria; Enterobacterales; Enterobacteriaceae. The record is from RNAcentral.
CCGGCGAUGUCCGAAUGGGGAAACCCAGUGCAAUUCGUUGCACUAUCGUUAACUGAAUACAUAGGUUAACGAGGCGAACCGGGGGAACUGAAACAUCUAAGUACCCCGAGGAAAAGAAAUCAACCGAGAUUCCCCCAGUAGCGGCGAGCGAACGGGGAGCAGCCCAGAGUCUGAAUCAGCUUGUGUGUUAGUGGAACGGUCUGGAAAGUCCGACGGUACAGGGUGAUAGUCCCGUACACCAAAAUGCACAGGCUGUGAACUCGAAGAGUAGGGCGGGACACGUGGUAUCCUGUCUGAAUAUGGGGGGACCAUCCUCCAAGGCUAAAUACUCCUGACUGACCGAUAGUGAACCAGUACCGUGAGGGAAAGGCGAAAAGAACCCCGGCGAGGGGAGUGAAAAAGAACCUGAAACCGUGUACGUACAAGCAGUGGGAGCACCUUCGGGUGUGACUGCGUACCUUUUGUAUAAUGGGUCAGCGACUUAUAUUCUGUAGCAAGGUUAACCGUAUAGGGGAGCCGCAGGGAAACCGAGUCUUAACUGGGCGUUAAGUUGCAGGGUAUAGACCCGAAACCCGGUGAUCUAGCCAUGGGCAGGUUGAAGGUUGGGUAACACUAACUGGAGGACCGAACCGACUAAUGUUGAAAAAUUAGCGGAUGACUUGUGGCUGGGGGUGAAAGGCCAAUCAAACCGGGAGAUAGCUGGUUCUCCCCGAAAGCUAUUUAGGUAGCGCCUCGUGAACUCAUCUUCGGGGGUAGAGCACUGUUUCGGCUAGGGGGUCAUCCCGACUUACCAACCCGAUGCAAACUACGAAUACCGAAGAAUGUUAUCACGGGAGACACACGGCGGGUGCUAACGUCCGUCGUGAAGAGGGAAACAACCCAGACCGCCAGCUAAGGUCCCAAAGUCAUGGUUAAGUGGGAAACGAUGUGGGAAGGCACAGACAGCCAGGAUGUUGGCUUAGAAGCAGCCAUCAUUUAAAGAAAGCGUAAUAGCUCACUGGUCGAGUCGGCCUGCGCGGAAGAUGUAACGGGGCUAAACCAUGCACCGAAGCUGCGGCAGCGACACUAUGUGUUGUUGGGUAGGGGAGCGUUCUGUAAGCCUGCGAAGGUGUGCUGUGAGGCAUGCUGGAGGUAUCAGAAGUGCGAAUGCUGACAUAAGUAACGAUAAAGCGGGUGAAAAGCCCGCUCGCCGGAAGACCAAGGGUUCCUGUCCAACGUUAAUCGGGGCAGGGUGAGUCGACCCCUAAGGCGAGGCCGAAAGGCGUAGUCGAUGGGAAACAGGUUAAUAUUCCUGUACUUGGUGUUACUGCGAAGGGGGGACGGAGAAGGCUAUGUUAGCCGGGCGACGGUUGUCCCGGUUUAAGCAUGUAGGCUGGUUAUCCAGGCAAAUCCGGAUAAUCAAGGCUGAGGUGUGAUGACGAGGCACUACGGUGCUGAAGUAACAAAUGCCCUGCUUCCAGGAAAAGCCUCUAAGCAUCAGGUAACAUCAAAUCGUACCCCAAACCGACACAGGUGGUCAGGUAGAGAAUACCAAGGCGCUUGAGAGAACUCGGGUGAAGGAACUAGGCAAAAUGGUGCCGUAACUUCGGGAGAAGGCACGCUGGUGUGUAGGUGAAGUCCCUGCGGAUGGAGCUGAGACCAGUCGAAGAUACCAGCUGGCUGCAACUGUUUAUUAAAAACACAGCACUGUGCAAACACGAAAGUGGACGUAUACGGUGUGACGCCUGCCCGGUGCCGGAAGGUUAAUUGAUGGGGUUAUCCGUAAGGAGAAGCUCUUGAUCGAAGCCCCGGUAAACGGCGGCCGUAACUAUAACGGUCCUAAGGUAGCGAAAUUCCUUGUCGGGUAAGUUCCGACCUGCACGAAUGGCGUAAUGAUGGCCAGGCUGUCUCCACCCGAGACUCAGUGAAAUUGAACUCGCUGUGAAGAUGCAGUGUACCCGCGGCAAGACGGAAAGACCCCGUGAACCUUUACUAUAGCUUGACACUGAACAUUGAGCCUUGAUGUGUAGGAUAGGUGGGAGGCUUUGAAGCGUGGACGCCAGUCUGCGUGGAGCCAACCUUGAAAUACCACCCUUUAAUGUUUGAUGUUCUAACGUUGGCCCCUUACCGGGGUUGCGGACAGUGUCUGGUGGGUAGUUUGACUGGGGCGGUCUCCUCCCAAAGCGUAACGGAGGAGCACGAAGGUUAGCUAAUCCUGGUCGGACAUCAGGAGGUUAGUGCAAUGGCAUAAGCUAGCUUGACUGCGAGCGUGACGGCGCGAGCAGGUGCGAAAGCAGGUCAUAGUGAUCCGGUGGUUCUGAAUGGAAGGGCCAUCGCUCAACGGAUAAAAGGUACUCCGGGGAUAACAGGCUGAUACCGCCCAAGAGUUCAUAUCGACGGCGGUGUUUGGCACCUCGAUGUCGGCUCAUCACAUCCUGGGGCUGAAGUAGGUCCCAAGGGUAUGGCUGUUCGCCAUUUAAAGUGGUACGCGAGCUGGGUUUAGAACGUCGUGAGACAGUUCGGUCCCUAUCUGCCGUGGGCGCUGGAGAAUUGAGGGGGGCUGCUCCUAGUACGAGAGGACCGGAGUGGACGCAUCACUGGUGUUCGGGUUGUCAUGCCAAUGGCACUGCCCGGUAGCUAAAUGCGGAAGAGAUAAGUGCUGAAAGCAUCUAAGCACGAAACUUGCCCCGAGAUGAGUUCUCCCUGAGACUUUAAGUCUCCUGAAGGAACGUU